RNAcentral lists this long non-coding RNA (181 nucleotides) under Piliocolobus tephrosceles (Ugandan red Colobus). Its description in RNAcentral is "lncRNA (ENSPTEG00000018915.1)". Lineage: Eukaryota; Metazoa; Chordata; Mammalia; Primates; Cercopithecidae. The record is from RNAcentral.
CGGGGACUACGCGGGGCGGUAGCUGGCGCGGAGCGCGGUGGGAGAGGAGAGGGUACCCGGCUGGCUCGGCUGGCGGCCUCUGCCAGGAUCUCGGCGCUGCAGUCCUGCGCCUCUCCCACCCCUGACUCCGGCUCCGCGGCCCCGGGCACGGCGGAGGCAGCGGAGCCCUGGGCCAUCGGAU